Molecule: ribosomal RNA, 478 nt
Filed under: uncultured bacterium
Lineage: Bacteria
Description: partial 16S ribosomal RNA
Rfam family: Bacterial small subunit ribosomal RNA
Source: RNAcentral
GACGAACGCUGGCGGCGUGCUUAACACAUGCAAGUCGAACGGUAAGGCCCUUCGGGGUACACGAGUGGCGAACGGGUGAGUAGCACGUGGGUGACCUGCCCUGCACUUCGGGAUAAGCCUGGGAAACUGGGUCUAAUACCGGAUAGGACCACUGCCUGCAUGGGUGGUGGUGGAAAGCUUUUGCGGAGUGGGAAGGGGCCGCGGCCUAUCAGCUUGUUGGUGGGGGGAUGGCCUAACAAGGCGACGACGGGUAGCCGGCCUGAGAGGGUGACCGGCCACACUGGGACUGAGAUACGGCCCAGACUCCUACGGGAGGCAGCAGUGGGGAAUAUUGCACAAUGGGCGCAAGCCUGAUGCAGCGACGCCGCGUGAGGGAUGACGGCCUUCGGGUUGUAAACCUCUUUCAGCACCGACGAAGCGCAAGUGACGGUAGGUGCAGAAGAAGGACCGGCCAACUACGUGCCAGCCGCCGCGGUAA